This is a long non-coding RNA of Hippocampus zosterae (dwarf seahorse), 223 nucleotides long. RefSeq lists it as uncharacterized. Lineage: Eukaryota; Metazoa; Chordata; Actinopteri; Syngnathiformes; Syngnathidae. The record is from RefSeq and is a predicted model, not a curated record. The transcript is spliced from 2 exons.
CAAAUCACGUCAGGGUCAUUUCGCCUUUUGAUGGGGGGGCGCUCGAGAAUUCUUUGGUUGGAGUCCAAAUUCCAAAUGUGGCAGCCGAUCAAAAAUGCUCAAAGCGCAUCGUUUCAAAUUUUCGAUGCGACUGAGACAAGCAACUUUGAACAACAGCUCCAAGUAGAUUUUUGCUCUCUUCGAACCUCACGGAUUUUUCACAUGAGCAACUAUGAGUCUGGGG